AGUCUGGGCCACAGGUUCCGCCAGGUGCAGCUGCAAAACAUGGCCCAUUUAGCUGUCUUUUUUCUGCUCCUGGUAUUGACUCACCUGAUCUCCUACUAACACUUCAACCCUAUCACGUGCUUGGUACACAGAGCUUGCUUAGCAUUAGGAGCUAAAUUUGCUGAAGCCUUAGACCACAAGUUGUGAAUUUCCACCCAGAUAGGCUGAACUUUUACCAAGUUAAGUAAAAGGGGGCCCCAGAGCUGGUUUGAGCUGGAAGAUAAGUAAGCAGGGAAGGCUGCUACCAUCAUUAAGUCAGCUGACACAGCAGUCUUAGAGAUAAGAGAAGGAACAACCCACCUACAGACAGUGAGGGAACCCAGUCAAAAACAGGAACACUCCAGAUCCUAAUAUUACUAGUGGUCAGAACUGUCAUGUGAGGGGUGGGGAACUUACACUGUAAGACUAUAAUUGCCCAAGGAUUUUUUUGAUUUUGGCUCCUCUUUGGAGGUACCCUUCUCAAGCUGCUCUACAUAUAAGAUACAUAAACAAGCCAUUUACUCAGUGGACUGGCAACUGUCUUCUUCAAGCAGGUCCAAGCCCUCUUGAUGGUGGCAUAAAUCCUGGCAGGGUAACUUUAGACCAGCUCAGCUUGGAGAACUCAUCUAGCAGCAGUGUGGGAGUCUGGCACAUGGCAACUUCUAAACCUCCAGGAUCCCAGGGAUGGUGUGAAAAACCCUUUCAAUGAUUUCUUAAAGAAUAAUUCAGCAGAAUUAAUUUCCAUCCUCAAAUAAAGCUCAGACUUCACUUGGA
This is a long non-coding RNA of Parus major (Great Tit), 792 nucleotides long. RefSeq lists it as uncharacterized. Lineage: Eukaryota; Metazoa; Chordata; Aves; Passeriformes; Paridae. The transcript has 2 exons. The record is from RefSeq and is a predicted model, not a curated record.